AUUUGAUUUGAUUCUGAAAACCUCUAGAGGGACGUAAAACUCACUUUGUAGAGAAAAACUUUGUUCCGGAAAUCAAAGCAGUAAGUCUGAGUUCAACUCAAAUUAUAGACAUAAUAAUAAUAAUAAUAAUAAUAAUAAUAAUAAUAAUAAUAAUAAUAAUAAUAAUAAUAAUAAUAAUAAUAAUAAGUUACGACAGCGGAAGUCCAAAGUUCUUGAUAGUCACGUGACGCACGGAAGUUACCGGAAGUUUUCAAAGAGUUGUUGGAUUCUGCAACUACGGAGAGACAAAAUCUGCUAUUUCUGGUUCUGCUGCUGAAGAACACAGAACGUCUCCAACAUGAGCAGCAGCGUUUCAGACUUGGGCAUCUCCAUAUCCGGUGAAUCCACCACUGAGUUCUCCACAUCUGGACUCUCUCUAAAGACCGACCGCUCAAAGUCACCACGUCUUUACUUCAGAGAUGAACAAAUCUCUACGAGUAUUCCCCCAUCAGCAGUAACUCCAGGCAGCCGUGGCCCUACGCUCUGGUCUCGGCACCUCUGCAAUAAAAGCCGGCUUCACUCUCCACUCCCUGCCAGAUUGUAGCUUCUGUUCACACAUUCCACUGGUCACGCUGCCUGUGUGUUCUGCUCAAACAUCCCUGCCAAGCCUUUGGAGUAUCCUGCCGUGUCCUGUCCCUGGUUGAGCCACGCUCUCCUCCCAAGAAUGGACCAGCUCCCACCUGGCCCAACGCCGAGCCACCAUGCCACUCUCUGCCGCCAGCUUCCUCCGUCCAGCAGUGACGUCUCUGGAUCUCUGCUCCCCAGGAGCCAGCCACCCCCUCCUCCAGCCUGUAGUGAGUUUAGUUCAGUUUCUCCCUCACCCUCUUUAAUUACUCUUGGCGAUUCCCUAUUUCUAGCUUUAGUUCUAGUUGGCUUCCAUUCCCUGAAUUCUAUUAUUCCUGUACCGGUCUCUGUCGGGCUGUGUACUCUCUGCUUGGGUUCUAAUCCACGCCACAACACCUAUGGUCAUGAGCUCUGGGUAGUGACUGAAAGAAUGAGAUUGCAGGUACAAGUGGUUAAAGUAUGCUUCCUCCAUAGGGUGGCUGGGUUCAGCCAUUUAGUGUGGGACUACAGGAAGGUUAAUUUCCUGCUGAUCACUGCAGAGUUCACCUGCUGAUCUAAACUGCCUCAAUAUCGAUUGAAAAAUCAGACGAAAAGGAACAGUUCCAAGUGCAAAAAAUGACAGCCCUGUUUCAAUCUUUCCAUAAUCCUGUUUGAACACCAAAGUUGUUUGAAAGAUUCUCUGUGUGAGAAAUCAGAGCUGCUCCAUCAGUGAUGUUCUGAUCUGCCUUCAUGUGACAUAAAGGAAUAUAUUUAAGCUAACAUAAACAAUUUAAACAAAACUCAGUAGUUGUUUAAGCUAGUUGUAGUGAUUUUAAGCUGAAAUCAACAGUUUUUUAAAAGCAAAUAUCAGUUUUAUCAAUCUUAAACUAAUAUCAGCUGUUUAAACUUGAAUCAACAGCAGGUCAACACCUAUUUAAGGUAACAGUGGUUUAAGCUGAUAUCAGCAAUUAAAGCAAUUAUGAAACAGCACACAUGCAGGUAAACUGACGACAGACACAGUAAGUUUUUAUUUGGACUCUCUUUUUAUUGUCAGGUCAGAUUCUCUGAACAUGAGAAACCAGAGAAAAGAUUCUGAUUGACUGUCAACGUCCACAGACGCUUAGCUCGUGAAGGAGGAAGACGAAGUGGAGGAGGAAGUGGAAACCACCUUUCCAUCAACCACCUCCUGCACCACUGUCACCACACGCUUGGUUGAGGUGCUCGACGAAGAAGUGCUGGUGACACUGUGAACCAAUCAGAAGAUAGAACAGCUUAGUUUCUGAGACACCUGUUAGCUUCAGUUUUAGCCAUUACACCUGCGCUACAGUCUCACCUGCUGAUUUUUAGCAAUUGUGAAGGCAACCAUCAGCAGCUUUUUAAGCUAAUUUCAGCAGCUGUUUAAGCUAGUAUCAGUAGCUGUCUAAACUAGUGUCAACAAUUGUUUAGGCUAACAUCCACAACUGUUUAAGCUAACAUUGGCUGCUGUUUUGGCUAAUAUCAGCAGCUGUCUAAACUAGUAUCAAUAAUUGUUUAGGCUAAUAUCAACAGCUGUUUAAGCUAAUAUCUGCAGCUGUCUAAACUAGUAUCAACAAUUGUUUAGGCUAACAUCAACAGCUGUUUAAGCUAACAAUAGCUGCUGUUUUAGCUAAUGUCAGCAGCUGUUUAAGCUAACAUUAGCUGCUCUUUUAGCUAAUGUCAGCAGCUGUUUAAGCUAAUAUCAGCAGCUGUCUAAGCUAGUAUCAACAGUUGUUUAGACUAACAUCAACAGCUGUUUAAGCUAACAUUAGCUGCUCUUUUAGCUAAUGUCAGCAGCUGUUUAAGCUAAUAUCCACAACUAUUUAAGAUAAGGUAUUAUAAACUGUUUAAGCUGUUUUAGCUCGAGGAGAGCACGGUGCAGGUGAUUCCGUUGGACCAGUCAGAAAACAGAACAGCUGAGCCUCACCUCUCUCCAUCCAGCAGCCUCCUGUACUCUGCGAUCUCCAUCUCCAGCCUGGUCUUGAUGUCCAGCAGCAUCUUGUACUCCUGUCCCUGCCUCUCCAGGUCAGCCCUCAGCUGCACCAGUUGCUCCUCCAAGGACGACACCUGGAAGCCGAGCACAGAAACAUUCACAGGUGAGAUCAGGUGAAAAGGCUCCACUGGUUUGUUACCUGAAACAAACAGGAAGUCAAUGUUUCACCUGCAUCUGGUAUCCAGACAGCUGCAUGGCGUAGCGGCUCUGUGUCUCAGCCAGUGUCCCCUCCAGCGUCGCUUUCUGCACAGCAAAGAAUAAAAUCAGUUUUCAAACACUGUUCAUACCUGAAGAUCACAGGUGUUUAACGGUCAUGUGACCCUCACCAUACUCAGCAAGGACUGUAGCUCGAUCUCCAGAGACUGUAGUGUACGUUUGACCUCUGUGACUUCUGAGCGGGACGUCUGCAGGACGGUGGUCUGAGUCAACACCUCUUUGUUCAGAGCUUCCGUCUGCAGGAAAAUCACACCUGUUCAGUCCACAUGCAAACACUCAGGUGAGCUGUGUGUCAGCGGUAAGAUGUCGCAGUGGUACCUUUGUCUGGAACCAGCUCUCCAGCUCCUUCUGGUUCUUGGCGGCAACGGCCUCGUAGUGUUCUCUGAUCUCGGCCAUGACCUUGGAGAGGUCCUCCUGAGGAGUAGCGUCCACCUCCACAUGGACCUGACCGCUCAUCUGGGAGCGCAUGGCCAGCAGCUCCUACAACCCACAACCAGCGUCAGACCAACAUGUAUAUGGGUAGCUAACCGUUGCUCAAGUCCGAGGCGAAAUCUAAUGAUCAUUUUCAUCAAUUAGAUUUUCCAGAGUUCAGUGAGACUUUAUGUUUUGUCUAAAACCAAAACGAUCGAGUUUACUGAUAGAAAAAGACAGCUGUUAUUUAAGAUAUUGUCAACAUUCAGGCUAAAAAGUUAUUUAAGCUAAUAUCAACAACUGUUUAAGCUAAUAUCAGCCGCUCUUUAAGUUAAUAUGAACCAAUGUCUAAACUGAUAUCAAAAGUUUUGGCUAAUAGCAUGUAUUUAAGCUAAUAUCAGCAGUUGUUUAAGUUAGCAUCAACAGCUGUUUAAGGUAAUGCUAAUAUAAAGCCAAUAUAAACAGUUAUCUAAGCUAAUAACUGGUUAAGCUAGCAGGUGUUUAUGCAAACUGUAUUACUAUUACUAACUAUAUUACCUUAAUUAUUGAUGAAUUAUCAUUACUUAUUAUUAAUUAAAUACUAACUAAUCAUCUAAAUAGAUGCAGUUCUGUGUGCAGACGUUCGUUGAUAUUUUUUAGUUUCAGUCUAAGUUUAGACAUCCAGGGAUACUGUGGACACAGUUAUUGAUUGAGAAUACAAACUGAGUAACAGCUGAAUGUUUUUUGGGGGGUGUCACCUGCAGAUAUAAUCCAUAAAUCAAUCCAUCAAACAUUUGCAUUGAUUGUUUUGAGGCGCACUCACCUCCUCGUGGUUCUUCUUGAGGAAGAUCAGCUCCUCCCUCAGGCCUUCGAUCUGCAUCUCCAGGUCAGUUCUGGCAAGAGUCAGCUCGUCCAGAACCCUCCUGAGCCCGGCGAUGUCGGCCUCCACCGACUGACGCAUGGCCAGUUCAUUCUCGUACCUGCAGGGGGCGACGGAGGCAGGACAGAUGUGGACUCAUGUUUAAUCAGGUUUUUGAAGCAUUUAAUCAGGUUUAUGUAGGCUUUAAUGAGAUUAAUGUGGGAUGUAAUAAGGUUUAUGUAAGGUUUAAUCAGGUUUAUGUAAGGUUUAAUCGGGUUUAUGUAAGAUUUAAUCAGGUUAAUGUAGGGUUUAAUGAGAUUCAUGUAGGGUUUAAUCAGAUUUAUCUAAGGUUUAAUCAGGUUAAUGUAGGGCUUAAUCAGGUUAAUGUAAGGUUUAUUCGGGUUUAUGUAAGAUUUAUUCAGGUUAAUGCAAGGUUUGAUCAGGUUUAUGUAAAGUUUAAUCGGGUUAAUGGUCGGUUUAAUGAGAUUAAUAGGGUUUGAUCAGGUUUAUGUAAAGUUUAAUCAGUUCAUGUAGGGUUUAAUUGGGUUUAUGUAGGAUUUAAUCAAGUUAAUGUAGGGUUUGAUGAGGUUAAUGAAGGGUUUACUUAAUGUACGAAUUUACUUAAGACUUGACUCCUCCUCCUGCUACCGUAACUCCAGCCCUGCUACUGUUGCUCCUCCUCCCUUUGCCACUGUAAGCCCACCCAUGUUUCUAUGAUCCCACCUCCUCCUGUCUGUGUUUCUGGACUCACUUGGUUCUGAAGUCGUCGGCAGCCAGGCGGGCGUUAUCAAUGCUCAGAUGGACGGAUCCGUUCAGCCUGAUAGCAGCCUGAAUCUGGAGAAACAGGAAGAUGGUCGACUCAGAGUGCUGAUACUCUAAAGUACUUCAUGUUACUCAUACUGUUGCUGCGAUACUUUCAUAUAUUAUCAAUCAGAAGAACUCUAUUAAUCCUUAUACUCCAGUAUUUAAACUCAGGGCAGAAGUUUUACUUGUACUGAUAAGUGUAUUUUUCAAAAAUGCAGAAAUCUAUUUUAAAAAAUUCCCAAAAAAGGUUAGUUUAAAAAAAAAACAUUUCCAACUCAUCAAUUAUCAUUUUAAAUAACGUUUUUUCCUGUGAUUGUAUUAGAAAUUAUCUGUAAUUUAUCAAAAAAGUGAAAAUGUGCAAAUCCAAAAUUAGCUAAAAUUAUUUUUUUUACAGUGUAGCAUCAGUUUUUGCACAUUAAAUCGAUGAUGCAUUUUCUCUUGCAUUGCACGUUUUAUUUUCUGUUUGUAAAAUUAUUAAAGAUGAUUAUCUGAAUUUUACUGCUUGUCAGGAAACUGAUCAGUCAGUCAAUUAAUUCAAAGAACUUCAGGGAAAGGCAGCUGCACUUCUGGGUUUUACAAAAUUUAGAAACAUUUUUGGUCAAAUUUUUAGACAGUUUGAACAGUCUUACAAUUGAUUUAGGCAAAGUUUUGAGAAUUUCUGGACAAAUUUUGAGUCAAUAUGUAUAAUCUUUACAUAAUUUUGAAGAUGCUUUUGCCAUUUAAUUGUUUUUAAUCAUUCUGGACAAAUUUUGAAACAUUUUGGACAGGUAUCGAGUCCAUUUGGACAAAUUUUUGGAUGAUGUGUAAAAUCUUUGCAUCAAUUUGGGUACGUUUUUGCAGAUGCAGCUGCACUUUACUGAAUCUCUUUGGAUAAAUGAACAGAUUAAUCCGUUUCCUGAGUGCUGGAACCUACAGAAUCUACAGAAACCGACAGAAGUGGUGAUUGGACGCAGGGUGAGGAGGUUUUUACCUUUGCGGUGAGGUCUCCGAUGGUGACGAAGAAGGCGGAGUAGUCGCGGGUGGAGGGUCCCACUUUGCUCUCCAAGUACUGCCGGAUCUUCAGCUCCAGCUCGGCGUUGGCCUUCUCCAGCGAGCGCACCUUGCCCAGGUAGGUGGACAGACGGUCAUUCAGGUUCUGCAUGGUGAACUUCUCGUUGCCGAUCAGGCUGCUGUCGCUGCCGGACACGCUGUAGCUCAUGGAGGACGAGUAGCCGCCACCAGCACCACCACCACCCAUGCCGAAGCCUCCACCCAUGGAGCCAGAGGAGAUGCGAACACCACCUCCAGCGCCGCCGUACACGCUGCCGGCCUUCAUCAUGGACAGCCGGGAGCUGCCGCCGCUGCUGCCGCUCAUGGAGCCGCUGGAGCUCAUGGUGGUCCUGACGGAGCGUGUGGUCAUCAUGGUGGAUGCUGCUGCUGUGGAGUUGACACAGAGGAGAGUGAGGAGCUCAGAAACUGGCUUCCUUUUAAAGCCAGAGAGCCGCCCAUCAUUCAGCGGUGACCUGCCAGGUAUGCAGGCGUGGCGGGGAUGGUCAGAGAAAUAUGCAAGCUUCUCACUCACUGAUGGAGGCUUUGUUUCAGUGCCAGAGGAUAAGGACCUUUACACGACGAGCAGGUUAUAUAAGCUGCAAAACCUGCGAUACCUGAAGGCUUUUUCUGCAGGGAAAGUUUUAAGAUAAGAUAAGAUAAGAUAAAGUUCUUUAUUUCUCCCCACUCCAGGGGAAAUUUACAUUGUUACAGCAGCUUUAUUUACAAUAUAUACAAGGGUGAAAAAUUUUUUUAACAGAAAAAAUAAAAAUAAAGUUUAAAAGUUUCAAAUAAAGCCUUGCAAACCUCAGCUAACUCCUGAGGAAUGAGCCUGGGUGUGUAAAUGUCACCGAACGCAGGGAUGUCUUAUCAAAUUCCACAUCAUUUGCAUUUAAAAUACGUUUAGUCUGCUACUUCUGUCAUGCACAUGGGAAAGUUUCAAGUUGUCAAAUAAAAACAGUAUUGUCCAGGAUAACUGAAAGGUGUUUCUAAUGACAAAAGGAUGUUCAAAUUGAAUCUACCAUUUUUCAAACCGAUUCAAAAUUAGUUUAAAGCCAUUCAGCAUUGUCAAAUGACAAAAAUAUGCCUAAAAUUAAAUUAAAAGUUUUAAAAAACCACUCAAAAGUUGUCCAAAACAGCUCAACAUUUGUCCACUCCAAAAUUUUGACAAAAGUAUCUUCUAAAUCUAAAAUUCAGAAUUCCAUCAAAACCAUUCAAAAUUGGGAUAAAAACAUGUUGAGAAGUGACAAAAACAUUAUCCAAAAUGGUUCAAAGACUUUUCACACUGAGUCAAAAUUUGUCCACAAUGACAAAAUGACAAAAACUUUCAAAAGUGACUAAGAUUUUUCCGAGUGACUCAAAUUUUCUAUGUUUUGUGUCGGAAUGCGAGGAAACUCCCACAGUUGUGAAAUAUAUUUUCAUGCAUUUGCUUUCGCAUGGCUGCAUAUGAAAACAUUAAAAGAUGUUUCAAAAAGAGCAGCACCAAAAUACAGAGCUGAAGACGAGGAAUUUGCAGCAGAAAGUUUUCACUGCUGAGACAGAAGCAGGUUUGAGUCGAGUCGGUCCCUGGUGUUCUUUGUCUUUUUUUAAUCUUGUGCAUUUGUUGGACAAACAAUGGAGCUCUAAGGUUCGAUAAAGUCAGUUUGACCAGGUUUUUUAUCUGUGUGGCUCGACUGAUGAAGUGGCCAAACUCUGCGUCUAAUACAGAAUAACCUUCACUGUGCUUUGUGUUAAUAUCUUAUCGGAUGGUGAUUUAUUACUCCUCCAGUUAUCAGUUCAGCUCAGAGCUGCUCCACGUACAAAACAUAUUUCAUUAUUUAUAACAGCUUUCAUUUGCUGCAUUUUCUGAUUUGUCUUGUAACAUCGUCUUUUUUAAAAAUCUUUGAUCCUUCCUAAAAAAUUUUAAAAUUUAUAGGUCCAAAAACUGUGUUGUUGUCCUAGUUUAAAUCAUGAUAUCAUGAUACUGAAAUAGUACCACUGAAGAAGCAUUUUACUGCGUUAAAACAACACACAGACUUGUUGAUAUUGGAGAGAUAAAGUCAUUGGGCACAGGUACACGAUGUGAAACAAAACAGUGCAUUCUGAUAACAAGUGAAGUGACUCAGCAGAUUUUGUUCAAUUGUCUCUAAAUUUUGCACUUUUCCAAAAUGACUGGAAGAUUUUUCAAAUUGAUUUAAAAUGUGGCUGCACAGUGGAGUAGUGGUCAGCACUUUCACCUUGCAGCUAGAAGCUCCCCGGUUCAUGUCCCGGCCUUCCUGGGAUCUUUCUGCAUGGAGUUUGCAUGUUCUCCCUAUGCAUUCGUCAUACGUCUUUUCCAAAAACACAUGUGGACUGGCUGAUUGAACUCCCAUGACCCCCUCAGCAGCUCUGCAGGGUAAAGAGCUGAUCCAUUGUUACACAACCAGGAUGGAAUCUGUAUCAGUCCUCUUGAAUCUGAGGUCCAGCACUCGUUGGGAGCCUCCUUUCCAGCACCCUAGAGUAAAUUUUCCCAGGGAGGCUGAGAAGUGGGACAUCCCAAUAUUUGGAGUCCACCAUCCGGUCCUCCUUUUUAAUAACGGGAACCACCACCCCUGUCCAAAGCUCCACAGGUACAGUACCCAAUGACCACACAACGUUGAAGAGUCGUGUCAACCAAGACAGUAGAACAAUGUCCAGAACCUUUAGCAUCUCGGGGUGAAUAUUAUCAUAUAAUACAGCCACUGAAGAGCUUCUUAACUACCUCAGCAACCUCUACUAUGGAAAUGGACCAAGAUUCCCCCAAGUCCUCAGGCUUUCCUUCCUCAGCAGAGGACAUAUUGACCGGGUUAAGGAGUCUCUCAAAGUGCUCUUUCCACCGUCCAACAAUGUCCCCAGAUCGGGUCCUGAAUGUACUCAGUCUUGGCAAAGUGCUGCCUCCCCUUCCUGAGGCAUGGAAUGUUGUCCGGAACUUUCACGAGGCCAGCUGAAAGUCCUUCUCCAUAGCCUUACCAAACUCUUCUCACACCCAAGUUUUAGCUUUCGCAGCUGCCACAACUACAGCCCUCUUGGCCAACCGAUACCCGUCUUCUGCUUCAGGAGACCCCCGAGCCAGCUAGGACUGAAAAGGCUCCUUUUUCAGCCUAACGGCUUCCUUCACAGCAGGUUUUUAGGUUGACAGGCAGCAGUGACCUUCUGACUACAGCUCCAAAUAGCUGCUUCUGUAAUGGAGGUUUUGGACAUGGUUCACUCAGAUUCCAUCUCCCCAACCUGCCCCGGGAUGGUGGAGAAACUCUUCUGGAGGUGGGAGUUAAAAACCCCACAGACAGGGUCCUCUGCCUGAUGUUCCCAGGCCCUGGUUCUAUUAUUCCAGAUGUCAAAUUUUCUGAAAUUCAUGGAACUUGAAUGGCUCUGCUGCUCAAAAAAUUUGCUUUUUCCCCAGUUUUCUUAAAUGUGACAUCAUGGUACUGGAAUAGUGCAUCACUGUGGGAAGAUUUUACUGCGUUACAAUAACACAAACUUGUUGAGCUCAGGGUGACAAAGUCAUUAAUCGCAGCUUCACGACAUGAAAUGCAAAAAGUGACUUAACAGAUUUUGUACAAUCAUCUUUAAAUUUUGUACUUAUCCAAACUGUCUCAAAAGUUGUCUUAAAGUACAAACAGGAGCAAAACAUUAAAAAAAACUAGUCCAAACUGACUACAAUUGGCCCAAACAAUUCAAAUUGUCCAAGUCCACCCAGAAUCUGUCUAAAACGCCAAGUUUGUUGAAAAUGACUUGAAAUUGGUCUAAAAUUACCAAAGCAUGUCUGAUUCUAUAAGUGGCCAAAAUGACACAAAAUUGCUCCAGUGGACUUCUCAAAAUGUCUACAAACGUGUCCAAAUGACAUCUGUUUGAAAUGUGUCCAAAAAUGUUUCUAUAUCUUAUAAAACUUGUUGCACAAACCAGCUGCUUCUGAACCGCUAAUACAGUUAUUCUGGUUCAGCUAAUUAUCUGUGUGGUUUAUCUGAAAAACCCACAGCAUUCUUUCAGCUGUCACUUUUGUGUCUGUGGUUGAAACUAUCAUAAAUUGUCAGCAAAUUAAAUAGCAUCUUCUGAUAUUUUAACACUUUAUUGGUUGAUAACACAGCUGUCAGCUCAGAAAAUUGUUUAAUUUUGUCUAAAAAUGUGUAUUAAGCAGUAAAACAGUAAAGCAGUAAAACAGUAAAAUCCUCCUCGUUUGCAGUAAAAGUGAUUCUGAUUGAUUUGUACUUUACCUGCAGUUUAGGAUCAAAACACUUCCCAUGAAUGUUAGUUUCACUAUUAUUGUGCAGGACUUCUCACAAAUAUUUCAGGUUUCAGUAAUAACAGGGCUGCAGGUGCCUCAGGACAGAAAGUUAGCCUUUAAGGGUCGACUCAGUGAAACCUGCUCAUCCAGUACACCUGCUUUACUGCAGUUCUCUGGAAGAACGAACUUUUCUGACUGACAAACAUUCGUGACACAAUUAGAAGUUCUUUGGAACUUGAUUUUGGAAUGAAAUGGCCCAUCAGCUCAACAGACAUUCACAGAUUAAACAUAUUUCUGAGGCUGUUCAGCUGAUAUUUUUAUACUUAAAAUUAUAAAUUAAUGCAGAACAAAGCAUCUCCAGACUAUUAAAGCUGUUUUGAUUUUGUAUUUUGGGACAUUAAAGCUGCUGCAGCAGUAAGAACUGAACUGAUGAUGUGCAAAAUGUUGAUUUCAAAGCUUUGUUUCUAAAUGUUCCACUGUCAACAAUUUAGAACCAGAAUGAACCUUUAUUUGAUCCGUCAGACGCGUUUCCUGCUGCAUUCAGUGUUUGAUCAUAUUAAUCAAUAUGAAAAUAUAACUUCAUAUCAGGUCUGCUUCACUUAUAGAAAUUUACCUUAUAAGAUCACUUCUUAGAUUUGCAUUUUAUUUUGUUUACAUGUUCAGAAAACUCCAAAAUCACCAGCUGAAGAACCUCUUUAUUCAGAGGAUGGUUCUACUUUAAGUGAUUCUUUAAAGGUACUCCAUGUUUGUUAAAAUAACAACAUGAAAUCAGAAAUAAUUCGAUUCUGUUUCUAAUGUAAGGAGCCAAGAACUGCUGCAGUCUUGCUUUUUUUUUUUUUUUUUUUUGCUUAAACUUUAGUUCAGUAUCAAGUCAUGCUGUCAAAGUAACCAGCCAAUAACUACUCAAAAAAGACUAAAUGACAAAAUUAAAAGUGACUGAAAUUGUCCAAAAUUACUCAGAAGUUGUGAGUUUACUCAGAACUGUCCAAAUUGUCAAAAAUCUGUUUAGAAAUGAAUACAUUUUGGAAAAAAAGAGCUCUUGGUGGCAAAACUUGACUAGAAUGACUCAAAAAUUGUCUUAAAAAACCAUCCAGAGUGGCACAAAAACUGCAAAAAAGUGACUUGAAUCUCAAUGACUUGAAAUGUCAUGAGAUGUCCAGAAUGACAAAAACCUGCCAGUAUUGACUCAAAAGACUUUUUGAAAUGAAUUCACAAAAACUCCUCAACAGUGACUCAAAAUGUUCUUGAAAUGAUCGAAAUCAUGUCUGGAUUUCUAAAAAACAAAUGUCCAAAUAGAUGAAAAUGUGUCCCAAAACGUCUGUAAACGUGCACUAAGUGACCAAAUUCACUCAGGAUGACUCGGAAUUAGUGAAUUGGGGUUCUGAUUUGGGUUUCUCCAUCACUGUAAAGGACCACUUUUGUUUGUCUGUCUCUGCACUUUCCUGUUGUUCACUUGUUUGUUUAGUCAGGGUCCUGAACUAAAGGUGUAAACUUCUAUUUUCCGUUGGUCGUUCUGUAAAAGCCUGCUCUCUGCCCUGCAGCUUGAAAAGUGUUAUACAAGUAAAAUAAUAAUUUGUGCUCCGAGCCGCUCCCUGUUUCUGCACCUUAGUACUAUCAGGUGUUUGCUAACUGGAUAUCUAAUCAGACUUCAUUCUUUACAAGUCUUGUUUGCACACCUGAGGCCCUGUGACCUGCACUCCCCCUCACCCCCACUCAUUCCUCAGUCACACCCAGACCUCGGCAUCUCGUCUUUCAUCAUCGAGGCUCAGAGCCAAUCACACCCCACAAAGAUUCAUUACCCAUAAAACUGAGGUGGAACUGUGCGAUCGCUCUGUUGCCACUAGUGAAUGUGGUUGAACCCGUCUGUUCACCCAGAGACCUCAGACCCCAGUGAUGGAUAACUUCCACUGUGACAACACUCUAAUCCGUCACUCAGCAGGGAUCUGUGGCUUUGAUCCGCCCUGCAGACUGGACCGGUUGGUUUGCAAACCUGAACCCGGUUCAGAACUCGCUUCGUGCCAGAACAAUGGUUUGCGAAACCCUGCAGGUGUGCAGCAGGUGCACGACUACAUUUGGUUCUGAAAUCAAGCGCCAUGUGAGGAUACAGACACUCUCAGUAACUAGAACACAUUUAUUAAAGCCAGAAAAAACAAUACAACACUCUCUGGUAAUUCUUAAGUUGAAUCAGUCUUCACGCUCAUGACAACCAGUCACACAGACACCCUUUAAUUAAUUUUGUUUAAGGUUUCAACUGUCUCAAAUGUGCAACAGUGCAGCUCAUUGUUUAACUACUUGAGCUACCAUUAUUUCAACAGUAGCCACUAAUGUUAGCGUGCAUAACAGUACACAGACAAGAAAACCGACUGUUAGCUGCUCGAGCUAACAUUAUUUCAACAAUAAAAGUUGAUGUUAACAUGUACAACAGUCAACAGACAAGAGAGGCCGCUGUUAGCUACUUGAGCUAACAUAAGCUUCACCAACAGAGGAGACCACCAAUGUUAACUUUUUUGAGCUAGUCUUUACUUUAGUCUACUAGUUGAGGCAAAAUUAUUAUCUGAUAAAUUAAUGAGAAAAAAACCAAUAUUAUUACUAUUAUUACUAUUACUAAAUGGAUUUUAUUUGAGGUUUCUACUAUCUGAAACAGUAUUUCAACAGUAGCCAUUAAUGUUAGCAUGAAUAACAGUAAACAGACAAAAAAAACCUGUUAACUGCUUGAGCUGUAUGAGCAGCUUUUAGCUCAAGCUAAAAGGCUAAUAUUAACAGCUGAAACAAGCAUCACUUUUUGGACUAAUGAAAUAAGCUGCUGUUAGCUGUUUGAGUUAAUGCUAUGACAUAUGGAGACACUGCAGUAGCAUCAAACUGUUUACACUGUUAUUAGUUUCUCAGAGUCACAGGAUAGCCUGAAGCUAGCUGCUAGAUGACAAGAGGCCACUGUUAGCUACCGGAGCUAACAUAAGCUUCACCAACAGGGGAGACAGGUGCAACAGGUGCAUGUCUACAUUUUAUUCUAAACUCAAACACAACCUGAGGGCACUUUCAGCAACGACUAGUCAUUUUCAUAAUAAUGGAAAGUACAUUCCAGCACUCUCUCUGGUAUGUUUCUCAUUAGCUGAGACCUCAGCAGCCUAUAGUUUAACUCUGACAUCAGAACCAGCUGUUAGCUACUUGAACUAACUUUAUUUUAACAGUAGCAGUUAAUGUUACCAUGUAUAACAGUAAACAGACAAGAAAGCCACUGUCAGCUGCUUGAGCUGUUUAAACAGCGUUUAGCUAAAGUUAAAACCUUUUAUCAGCAAUUGAAACUAGCAUUACUUUCUUGGACUGAUGGCACAAGCUGCUGUUAGCUGUCUGAGCUAAUGUCACAGUAUGUGGGGUCAUUGCAGAAGCUAAUAUUAGUCGAUAUUAGUCCACAGAUUGAGCUGUUAGUUUUCCAGAUUCGCAUACUAGUCUAAAGCUAGGUGCUUAAAGACAAUAAAAGAAACUGUUUACUGUUUGAGCUAAUAUGUACUUUAUCAACAGAGGAGAAGCUCAUAUUUUUGAGGUAGCAGUUUAAGAUAGCUAUUUCAGUGUCUCAUUGGUUAACAGAAAAAGGUUAAUUUUAGCUUCUGAAGCUUACAUUUGUUUGAUUGACAGGUUAGGCCAGGGGUUAGCAACCUUAAACACUCAAAGAGCCUUUUGGACCCGUUUGCCACAGAAAAGAAAGCACCAGGAGCCACAAAACUCUUUUGACAUUUAAAAUGAAUGUAACAGUACAUAUAUCAUUUUGUCUUUAUGCUACGUAUUAAGAAACUACAGUGUGUUGCAUUUAUGAAAUCAAUGAACUGAACAGAGAAAAUGAAAUUACAUUAACCCUAGCCCUAUGAAUAUAUGCAAAAUGAUUGGCAAAUAAAAUAUUUAUUCAGGUCAGGACUUUAACUCAUUUAUUUCGAUUAAUUACAGAAAAAUAAUGUGUUAAAAAAAUAAUACAUUUAAUCACACCUUUCUUAGUUCCCUAAUUUCUGGCACACCGGUAACACUGAUGCACACUCCAGCCCAGUAGGGGGCGGUAUUGAACCUAAAUUCUGUUUGCCAGCAGUGAAGAAGACACACAGGACGCACUGUAGUGAAUCAGCGUACAAGAAAGUUUGGUGAACAGUGAAGGAAGACGAGACCGCAUUGAGCUUGCUGGGCGGAAAGUUUUCUUUAAAAAAAAACGUCCCAAUGGCAGCUUGGACAGAAACGUGGUUGUCUGUGGUGAUCGAAGAGUUUUCUGAUCACCGCCGAUGGUAUCACCUCAAUGUAAAACAUGUUGCUGUUAACAUCAGAGCUAACGUUAGCUACGACAAUCCCGGUACCAGCAAACGGUGUAGCCAGACCAUCAUAUACUGCUUUUCAAGACACUGAAAGCGUCUGAGUUUACAAAAAGUCUUAAAAUGUUGAAUAUAAUCGCUGUAAUUGCAUUUUGAAUUUGCAGUAAUCUGUGAAUGUAGUAGACAUAAAAAAUGCAGAUUAAAUAUAAAUGAAACAUGUUUUGUUGUUUAAGCUCACAUAUAUGUCUGUUUAUCGAUUCAGUCGUCAACCAACAUUUAUUUGAAUUGGUAAACUUUGCUUAUUGUGUCAAAUAUUGUUAUAUGACAAAAUGUGAUUAAUAACAAUGAAUUAAUCACAACGCCUCUAAUUAAUUAGAUUAAUGUUUUUAAUCACGUCCCACCACUAAUAUUUAUCUUACUUGGCUGAUGUGAUUUUUGCUCCUGAACCUCAACACACAGUGUCUUCACAUCAGGGCUGUAAGCUGUCGACUGUAGGGCUGGUCCGAAUAGCAAUUUCUGGGCUCCGGAUAUUUGGGCCCAAUUAAUGACGACUAUCCGAGUAUUUGGACCCCAAAAUUAAUAUUCGGAUACCACCACAACGACCGAAUAUUUGGAUAUUCGGGUCCAGCCCUGGUCGUCUGUGAGGUGUGAGUGAUGUUUGUUUUUAAGGUAGUUCAUGUUGGAUAAGACCUGCUCACAUGUGGAUGCAAAGAUCCACAGGACUCCAAAUGAAUACUGGCGUGUGGGUGGAUGCCGCACAUUAACGGUUGUAAACAUAUUUUGACAGAUGAAAAAAUUGAACACGUUUUAUUUUGUUGUUAGAAGAUCACCAUAAUCUUAAAAUGUAGAAUUACAUUUUUAAAACUAACAAACAAAAAUAAAAUAAAUUUGAAUUAAAUACUCAUUUAUUUUUCAAAGCCAGAGGGAACCGCAACAGACGGAUGAAAGAGCUAAGUGCGGCUCUGGAGCUGCAGGUAACCGACCCCUGGGUUAGGCUAAAGCGAGUUGCAAGAUGGGGCAGUGGUGACGCAAUGGUUAAGUCUCUGGACUACUGAUCAGAAGGUCAGAGGUUCAAGCCCCGAUGUGGCCACUGUUGAGCCCUUGAGCAAGGCCCUUAACCCUUCCUGCUCCAGGAGCGCUGUACCGUGGCUGACCCGUCGCUCUGACUCCCCCCAAUGGGGAGAUAUGUGAAAAUUUCCCCUCGUGGGAUUAAUAAGGGAUAAUAAAAAAAAAUAAUAAAUGAAAAGAAAGGUGACUGUUAGCUGCUACAAAUUACACUGCUUCACCAACAGAUAAGAGGAGAGGCUAAUGUUAACUGUUUGAGCUAGUAUUAGUUUCACUUAGCUGUUUGAUCUAAGUAAGUGUCUAAUUAACUAAUAAGAGAGGACUAACAGUGGCUGCUGAAACCAGGAUUAUUUUCAGAAAGGGUAAGCUACUGUUUGCUGUUAAUAUCAUACCACAGAGAUUCAGUGAAGAAGAUAUGAGCUUCAGUUCGCUUUUUGAGCUACAAUUAGUGUCUCACUACCUAAAGUGAAAAGAUGAACUUUAGUUGCUGAAACUAACAUUUGUUUCUUGGACUGAUGGCAUGAGCUAUUGUUUGCCAUUUGAGAAGCUAGUGUUAACUUUUUGAUCUUGUCAUGGUUCAAUUUAGCUAUCUGACAAAAAAUGAGUGUCUCAAAAGUUAAUGAGAAUCAAGUGAGAAAAGUCAAAUAGUUGAAACUAAUACUUGUUGUUUGGACUGAUAGGAUAAGCCAUUGUUAACUGUUUGAGCUAAUGUGAUAACAUGUGGAUUGAUUGAAAAAACUAAUAUGAUCUCAUUUCAGCCCACAGGACAUUGAAGGUUCCGCUCAGUUCUUUAUAUGCAAAUCCUGAUGGUGUGACACAUAAGAUAAACUAGAAAAAUUUGGCUGCUGUUUAGUGUUACCUAACCCCAGAUGCUAAUUAGCUCACACUGUGAGGUGAACCGAUUUUUAGCAAAACAUGACCAUGUUAAUAUGCAAAUAAAAAAUGUGUGCUUAACCACAACAUCAACCAGAGCAAAUCUGGUUUUUAGGAGCUGGCAAACCAGCAGUAUUUUUAUUUUCAUAUCUUUACAGGUGGCUAAACUUUUGAAAUGCUGAUAGCAUCGCAGCUGUCACGGUUUUAUGUUUUUAAUUACAGAUGUGAAACUUAAACCAGUUUUUAACCCUCAGGACUGUUGGAUCGACUCCAGCUUCAAAUGUCAGAGAUGUUAAAGGUCUGGCUCAGGGCCAAAAAAUAAAUAAAGCAAUGAAAAGGACUCAGAUGUGAAGACAGAGCCAGCAGUCACUGACAAACAGCACAAAGGUACCUGUACUAGUCCAACCCAACAAUACAAUAUAACGCUGAGGUACAAACAGACAGGUUCAUGACAAAACACAACAUAGACAUCAAAAUGGAUCUGCAAAAGCAUCAAGCAACAAAGUUAAAAAAGUAAGAACACUAAGAACAACACCAAGCCCUAAAAGAUGAUAUUUCCAUAGUAUUUCAGAGACGUUUGAAGUCCUCCAGGGGAAUCAGGUUGGACAGCUUCAGACUCUGCUGUAGUGAGUUCCAGGUUGAGGGAGGAGAGUAAGAACAAUCUAUUUUGCUGAGCUCUGUGCAGACUGAGGGGACAGUGAAAGUAAUGAAGUCCUGGAAACGUAGACUACGGCCGAACUUUUACGUGACAUGAAGGAGGAUAAAUAUGUUGGCAGUAGACCAAGGAUGGAUUUGUAAAUGAAAUGACACCAGUGGAAAAGUCUGUGCAUGGACAGUGAUGACCAGUUAACCAAAGACUACAAAGUGCAGUGGUAUGUGAGAGGUUUACAGCCUGUUAGAAAUCUAAGUGAUCCAUGAUAAACACCAUCCAACAGUUGAGUGGGUUGAGGCAUUCAUGCAAACAAUAUCUCCAUAAUCAAGUACAGGCAAGAAGAUGACAACAUCAAACCGUUUCCUGGCAUUAAAAGAAAAACAGAAUUUAUAAUAAUAAUAAUAAUGCAUUUUAUUUUUAAGUGUCUUUCUUGACACCCAAGGACACUUUACAAAGAAAAACUAAAAGAAAGAUUAGUAUCAUCAAUCAGUAACCAGUCCCUCCAGGAUUUUGAGACUGUUGUGAUCUAAAAUGCCAGAAUUAACGACAGCUUUUCUAAAAAAUUGCGAUGUAAGUUGCGAUGUUUUGAGCAUAUUUGCUGCGAUGAAAUUGCAGUGAAAAUAGUGCUAACAGAGGAUGCAGAGCAGGUGGAUCAAUUUCUAACUUUAAAUCAUCAACAACACUCUCAACACAAACAUUCUCUGGUCAUCUCUUGUGUCUCACCUGCUGGUUGUUUGCAGUCUGAGCUCUAAUUUGAAGCAUCAGUGACAAAAAAAAUAUUUUACUUGUAUUAUUUUGACAUUUUUUUUUCUAAUUUUAUGACACAAUGCUGAAAUAAAACGUGUUUUAAUAAAAUAUGGUCAGAGAAAAAUAUUUUCUAGUGAUUCAGUUUAUAAUUAAAAAUCAACAGAGACACAGAGUUGAUGUCAGACUUUUUAUUUCUACUCAGACAGACUCAGUUUACUGGUUGUGGUUCAGUUUACUGGUGCUAGUCACCUAGUCAGGGGUGGACUGGGGCAAAAAAUCAGCCCUGGCAUUUUUGGCUCAGACCAGCCCACAGCAUUAUUGGCUGACUGAAUGAAGCGCAGUGGGGUGGGGGGUAUUUGCUACUCCUACCAAGAUCUGCAUCUGCAUUCACUCUGUUUCUCCCUGUGUUCUUUCUCCGAGUGUCCCUGGUUCCAGAGCUGGAUGUUUCAGAUCUGUGGUUGUUCUCCCACCAACUGGUUUAGUCUCCAUCAUGUCCACUAUGGGAUGCUGCUGCUGACCUUCCUCCCACCCACUGCUUCCAGCUGCCUAUUUCCACCAAUCUACUCUGCAUCGCCUUUACUAUACUUGAUAUGCUCAUCCGGCCAGCAGACAGAUGGGUCCCCCCACAUUAGAGCCAGGUUCUGCUCAAGGUUUCUUCCUGUUAAAAGGUAGUGUUUUUCUUGCCAU
Molecule: long non-coding RNA, 18417 nt
Organism: Amphiprion ocellaris (clown anemonefish)
Lineage: Eukaryota; Metazoa; Chordata; Actinopteri; Pomacentridae
Exons: 6
Source: RefSeq, a predicted model, not a curated record